GGUCAGAUGGCCGAGCUGCUCUAAGGCGCCGCACUCAAGUUGCGGUCUCUCACGAGGCGUGGGUCCGAAUCCCACACUCUGACCC
Zopfochytrium polystomum is the source of this 85-nucleotide non-coding RNA. The record is from the annotation of a GenBank genome assembly. NCBI's taxonomy places the organism in Eukaryota, Fungi, Chytridiomycota, Chytridiomycetes, Chytridiales, Chytridiaceae.